AAGGAUCAUUACCGAGAGUGUCCCUUCGGGGGCGACCUCCCACCCGUGUGUAUCUACCCCUGUUGCUUUGGCGGGUGACCUGCCCAGGCUGGUCCCAAGCCCGUCAGAGGACCCAAACCUCUUGUGUUUGAUGCAGUCCGAGUAAAACUUUCAAAUUAUCAAAACUUUCAACAACGGAUCUCUUGGUUCCGGCAUCGAUGAAGAACGCAGCGAAAUGCGAUAAGUAAUGUGAAUUGCAGAAUUCAGUGAAUCAUCGAAUCUUUGAACGCACAUUGCGCCCCUUGGUAUUCCGAGGGGCAUGCCUGUCCGAGCGUCAUUGCACCUCUCAAGCUCCGCUUGGUCUUGGGACCCGCCCCCCCCGCGGCGGACCCGAAAAGCAGUGGCGGUCCGGCGAGACUUCAAGCGUAGUGGAAAUUUUCGCUUCGAGAGCUCGAGCCGUGGCCCCGCCAAGUUCAACCCCCAGGAUUUUCCUUCCAGGUUGACCUCGGAUCAGGUAGGGAUACCCGCUGAACUUAA
RNAcentral lists this ribosomal RNA (516 nucleotides) under Halecania alpivaga. Its description in RNAcentral is "eukaryotic LSU rRNA". The stretch from base 163 to 316 matches the Rfam family "5.8S ribosomal RNA". Lineage: Eukaryota; Fungi; Ascomycota; Lecanoromycetes; Leprocaulales; Leprocaulaceae. The record is from RNAcentral.